This 253-nucleotide ribosomal RNA is filed under the name uncultured bacterium. RNAcentral describes it as "partial 16S ribosomal RNA". It matches the Rfam family "Bacterial small subunit ribosomal RNA", at positions 524 to 776 of the family's 1533-position model. The record is from RNAcentral.
AACGUAGGAGACAAACGUUAUCCGGAGUUACUGGGCGUAAAGGGCGUGUAGGUGGUUGCGUAAGUCUGGCGUGAAAUUUUUCGGCUUAACCGGGAAAGGUCGUCGGAUACUGCGUAGCUAGAGGACGGUAGAGGCGUGUGGAAUUCCGGGUGUAGUGGUGAAAUGCGUAGAUAUCGGGAGGAACACCUGUGGCGAAAGCGGCGCACUGGACCACAUCUGACGCUGAGGCGCGAAAGCUAGGGGAGCAAACAGG